AAUUGGCGCGGACUCUAACAGUGUAAACCACAUUUCCAAAUCAGUUAUAUUGACCGAUUUCUGAAUUUCUGGACUCAUUUUGAGGCGAAAAUGUGUUUUCUGUAAGCGGAGGACUGCAUCUCUCGUUUCUUAUCAGUGAGUUUUGCCGUUAAGAAGUUUCUAGCUAAGGCUGUUUCAUCAGAAUAUCAGAGUUUUUGGUCCAUCUCCGAAGAAGAUCCUUCAAGAUGGUUGUGCCGUUUGACACAUUCAUGUCCGAUGAACAAAUUGCAGAGGAUUACAGGCGAUUUGACAAGUUGAUAGGCGAUCUGUGUGAUGUGCUUUUCCAUGUUUUAACAUCUGGACGAGCAUCCUCUCCCGGAAGACCGAACGAAUCCAACAACGGCCCUAAUUUUCAUGCAAGAGCCGUUACUCGUAGAUCUCGAAGAAUGAGUAUGGAUGAUCGGCAGUCGGAUAGAACCGGCCUGAAUGAAAUGUGUCCUGAUUUAAUUUCAAACAUAUACAGGCACCCAAAACGAAAUUCUCAACGAGUCUCGCUGCAAAUUUCUAGGAGAUGAUGCUGUAAAUCGGGUUAGCCAGCGCCACUGCCAGCAUAUUUCUUAUAGCAUUUACGCUCAGAGAUCGAACUUCUCUAAUCGAAUGUAUCAAAGGCUUCGACCAGCCGUCCAUUAAUUAUGAAGGAUGAAUGCAUGAUGCAUUGCAUUGAAUUAAGGCUCCUGCAGAGUCUCCUUGUUGAGUAGUAGUUGCUCGGUGGGAAAUUCUACUCAUCAACCAAUCAACUCUUCAAGAUGAAGAAUUAGAAAUUCAUCUUCGAGCGCUGUCGAAGCAGUUCUAUCUCUUAUCUCUGAGAAUUUGGUUUUCCCAAGGAUGAAAAAAAAGAAAAGAAAUGCAACCCAGAAUGUGCUUGAGAGAUGCACAGGUACACUCAUAUUAAUUUGCUCUUUUACAAGAUAAAAAAAUUAUGAAGAGAGAUAUUGUGGAUGUUUUUUAAGUGUGUCAUUUCGAUUUAUGCGACAGUGAUUUUUGCUCCUUUUUCUAAAAAAAUAUGACGUCAAAGACGUCAUGAUAAUAAACCAGCUAUGUCAACAGAACAUUCACCUUAUCAUAGAACUUCAAGUUCGAACACACUUUACCUCUCACCUAUGAUUAUGAGAGCGAACUUAUGGUUCUUCUCUGUUUCUCAAAGUUAUGCCAGUGAUAACUGGCAAAAUGUUUGCUUCUUUUUCGAUUUUAUUUGUAAUACCUUCUCAAGUCUUUGAUAUUUUAACUAUUAGGUAUGCUUAAUCUGUCACGCCAAGGACAUUACCAUGGCUGAAGAUAUCAAACAAAUCCUUUCAAACGCUGUAUCUUGCUGUUUUCUAUAGUUGCGACACCGAAGAAAGCUCGAAGCAGUGUUCAUUACGCGAAGCAUGUUUACCUAAUUCUUGUAAAAUUAUCAAUCAGAGGAGUAUGUCUAUUUUUUAGCUUAAGUUUGUAAAUACAAUAAACGAAAUCUCAGUUAUUUUAAUUUGA
RNAcentral lists this long non-coding RNA (1509 nucleotides) under Bemisia tabaci. RNAcentral describes it as "lncRNA ENSASIAIIG007966". Lineage: Eukaryota; Metazoa; Arthropoda; Insecta; Hemiptera; Aleyrodidae. The record is from RNAcentral.